GAUGAACGCUGGCGGCGUGCCUAAUACAUGCAAGUCGAGCGAACAGACGAGGAGCUUGCUCCUCUGACGUUAGCGGCGGACGGGUGAGUAACACGUGGAUAACCUACCUAUAAGACUGGGAUAACUUCGGGAAACCGGAGCUAAUACCGGAUAAUAUAUUGAACCGCAUGGUUCAAUAGUGAAAGACGGUUUUGCUGUCACUUAUAGAUGGAUCCGCGCUGCAUUAGCUAGUUGGUAAGGUAACGGCUUACCAAGGCAACGAUGCGUAGCCGACCUGAGAGAGUGAUCGGCAACACUGGAACUGAGACACGCACCAGACUACUAAGGGAGGCAGCAGUAGGGAAUAUUCCGCAAUGGGCGAAAGCAUGACGGAGCAACGCCGCGUGAGUGAUGAAGGUCUUCGGAUCGUAAAACACUGUUAUUAGGGAAGAACAAAUGUGUAAGUAACUAUGCACGUCUUGACGGUACCUAAUCAGAAAGCCACGGCUAACUACGUG
Molecule: ribosomal RNA, 497 nt
Filed under: uncultured bacterium
Lineage: Bacteria
Description: partial 16S ribosomal RNA
Rfam family: Bacterial small subunit ribosomal RNA
Source: RNAcentral